GGUAAUAACUCAGUGGUAGAGAACCUGUUUAGCAUGCACGAGGUCCUGGGUUCUAUUCCCAGUACUUCCA
This 70-nucleotide transfer RNA is filed under the name Camelus bactrianus (Bactrian camel). It matches the Rfam family "tRNA". From Rfam's summary of the family: Transfer RNA (tRNA) molecules are approximately 80 nucleotides in length. Their secondary structure includes four short double-helical elements and three loops (D, anti-codon, and T loops). Further hydrogen bonds mediate the characteristic L-shaped molecular structure. tRNAs have two regions of fundamental functional importance: the anti-codon, which is responsible for specific mRNA codon recognition, and the 3' end, to which the tRNAs corresponding amino acid is attached (by aminoacyl-tRNA synthetases). tRNAs cope with the degeneracy of the genetic code in two manners: having more than one tRNA (with a specific anti-codon) for a particular amino acid; and 'wobble' base-pairing, i.e. permitting non-standard base-pairing at the 3rd anti-codon position. Lineage: Eukaryota; Metazoa; Chordata; Mammalia; Artiodactyla; Camelidae. RNAcentral also lists the same sequence under 1 other name. The record is from Rfam by way of RNAcentral.